RNAcentral lists this long non-coding RNA (936 nucleotides) under Falco tinnunculus (common kestrel). RNAcentral describes it as "lncRNA (ENSFTIG00000001704.1)". The record is from RNAcentral. Lineage: Eukaryota; Metazoa; Chordata; Aves; Falconiformes; Falconidae.
ACAAAGAUUAAAACAGAUCUUACGAUACUUUGAUUCUAGCAUCAGUACACAUUCAGCAAGUAGCUCUAUGAACUAAUUUUCCAACUUGGACAACACUGUAUCUUUUCUCCUUAAGCAGCUCUACCAAAAACAAUGGGACUAUUAACCCAGGAAGCAGACAGUCGCUAUUGCUAAUGCUAUCAUAACUUAUUUCAUUCUUUUCCAAAUUGAAACAAUACCUUUUUUUUUUUUUUUUUUUUNUUUUUUUUUUUUUUUUUUAGCAGGGUAUUUUAUGUCUUUUCCUUCAAGUCAUGAAUGUACAGUAAGAGUUUCAGGCUGAUGUCAACUAAACAGGUGCAUCAGAAGCUGCAAUACUAACCCUUCACUAAGGUUCUCUACCCUUUUUCCACUCAUGUGAACAAUUAAUUUUGACCAGAGAUUCUGCAGUAACUCACUUUUUGCAUGUGCUUUUAUUCCACUAAUAGCUGAAUUCCAGAAUUUAUACGGAAGCAUUGAUUCCCAGCCUUGCUGUACCAGUUCAUGUCACAGGUCAUUUGAUACUCAGAUCCCUCGGCAUAUAUACUUCUACCCAUUCACAAUAGCAUAAUCUAAUUUACAGUCAUAGUUUAACUUCGUUUGGACCAACAAAUUUGGCAGCGAUGUGCAACUGCCUCAGGGUGGGAACAGCAGAUCUUACUGAAGCUGGAUAUUCAUAGGAUAAGUACAGACAACCUUCUUAGCAACUUAUGAACAGUGCUCGUAACUUUACUGCAUCUUGAGACACAGUUCAGUGCCAGUAGUUUUCCUUGUUUUGUUGAUGGAUAUUGGCUCCUCCCAAAUGAAGUAAAAGUUACUGUGUUUGGCUGGAGGAGAAAAGAAAAUGUUUAACAUUUAAACAUUUAAAACUUGUAGUAGUUUAUUCAAAGGGUAAAGCCUUGAAGACGUUUAAGAAAAAAG